RNAcentral lists this microRNA precursor (86 nucleotides) under Pristionchus pacificus. RNAcentral's name for it is "microRNA ppc-mir-2255 precursor". Lineage: Eukaryota; Metazoa; Nematoda; Chromadorea; Rhabditida; Neodiplogasteridae. The record is from miRBase by way of RNAcentral.
GAGCUUGCCCCUUCUUGCCAAUACUAUUCAAUGACAAUCUAAUCCGGUAAUGGUUAAAUUGCAUUGAUUGGUAUUGGCAAACGCUC